Molecule: ribosomal RNA, 645 nt
Filed under: Hepatozoon canis
Lineage: Eukaryota; Apicomplexa; Hepatozoidae
Description: SSU rRNA
Source: RNAcentral
UCUCAACUUUAUUAGAAGAGACGCAUUUAUUAGAUAAAAAGCCAGUUCAUGCUUUUACAGUAUGAAAAUUGGUGAUUUAUAAUAACUUAGCAAAUCGCAAAGUGAAAACAGGCGAUAAAUCAUUCAAGUUUCUGACCUAUCAGCUUUCGACGGUAUGGUAUUGGCUUACCGUGGCAGUGACGGUUAACGGGGGAUUAGGGUUCGAUUCCGGAGAGGGAGCCUGAGAAACGGCUACCACAUCUAAGGAAGGCAGCAGGCGCGCAAAUUACCCAAUUCUAACAGUUUGAGAGAGGUAGUAACAAGAAAUAACAAUACAAGGCAGUUAAAAUGCUUUGUAAUUGGAAUGAUAGAAAUUUAAACCCUUUUUAAAGUAUCAAUUGGAGGGCAAGUCUGGUGCCAGCAGCCGCGGUAAUUCCAGCUCCAAUAGCGUAUAUUAAAAUUGUUGCAGUUAAAAAGCUCGUAGUUGAAGUUCUGCURAAAGUAACCGGUCUGCUUUUAAUAAAAGUGGUAUCUUGGUAUGUAUUUAGCAAUGAUGUCCUUUGAAGUGUUUUUUACUUUAUUGUAAUAAAGCAUAUUCAGGACUUUUACUUUGAGAAAAUUAGAGUGUUUCUAGCAGGCUGACGCUUUGAAUACUGCAGCAUGGAA